Molecule: long non-coding RNA, 998 nt
Organism: Homo sapiens (human)
Lineage: Eukaryota; Metazoa; Chordata; Mammalia; Primates; Hominidae
Source: Ensembl
AGGGAGGCCAUUACAUUAAUGCCUUCAGCUUUCCGCACAGCCCAUAUUGCUUUGGUGGACGCUUUGAAAUGUCUGGUCGUUAUAACUCAGUCACUCAAGACACCUCACUUAAAAAUUCUAGUUAUGGAAUAAUUGUGAUGCCAUAGGAAGAAAAUUAAGCAAGCUGUCUACUCUUGGGAAAUGUUAACAAAUGCCUGUGCAUACUGUGAAGAGUCCACGGGGAAGAAAAUGAGCCACACAAGAUGGUCCCACCUAUAUUUAUUAUACACUGAUCACUAUGAAGACAUAAAGAUUUGUUAAAAGUGGCCUUUGAAGAGCAUGUAAUUGUGUCCAGAAUUGGCGGGUUCUUGGUCUCACUGACUUCAAGAAUGAAGCCGCAGACCCUCACGGCUAAGACAUCCAAGGUCAAAGGGCCUACAUCUGGUGAAGGUCUUGCUGCUUUAUCCCAUGGUGGAAGGCAGAUGGGUUCACAGAAAAUAGAAAUUCUUUACACAGUCUUCUGAUCAAUAGAAUCAAAGCCCUUUUUCUGUAAAUACUGGCUAGAGAGUUGCUAACUUCCAUAAUGGAGAAAUGGAAAAAGCAGUUUCUUUCUCCAAUAAAACCACAAAAGCCAUGGUUUUAAAAGAAACUAUAGAGGAUUUCUUGUGUGGAGUCCUUAGCUUUGUGACUGCUGAGAUUUAAGACAUAGGAAAUCAUGACUUCCUCGUGGCAGCCUCAUGAUUCUGAGAUCACAGCACGUGCAUUUGGUACAGCCAGCAGAGGUGGUGGUGUCUUCUCGAAUUCCUGACCUUCUUUCCAUGGCAGAAGAAGCAACCCUUUUGCUAACUGAGGUCUAUGGUGGUGUUCCUGGAAUCUCCAUCUCUAACCUAUUUACCUAAUCCUUCCAAAAAUCUUAUAUUGAAUCUUUUCAUGUUUAAAUUAUUUAGAAUGGUUUGUGGUAUCUGUAAACACUGACCAAUGCUUCCCACAAUAAAAUCAGCAGUAUGGAAAGAAAGAAA